GUUCCCCCAGUUCUUAGCAGGAUCAGUUUUGCAUUUCGUCUAAAUCCGAUGAGAAAAUCUUGGGGGAGGGGUAAGAUUUUGGCAACGUACUUUUUGUGACGUAAUCCUAAGAUUUUCAAACUGCCUUUACAUAGCCAAUUGUGAGUGUUGGGCGUUCCCUUCAGGUAAAAAUGGCGUUCCUUGUUAGUAAAAGGCAUUUUCUGGUGCUAAAAAGAGCGUGGCCUAAAAUAUCUUGUUUUGUUCCCUCCCCCCAGAGCGUAGUGGCUGGCGCCGCCAUUGGUAGCUUGUAAACAAAUCCUUUGACCCAUCGAUUCAAUAAAAAGAAAGAUUACAAAUGGUGAUGUUUAUGAAUGAAUUCUUUCCAAAUAUGUCUUCUCGGGUCAAAGCGAGGUCACCUCAGCUUGUAAUAAUCACUGUUCUAACAACAGUGCUCCUUGCAAAUUCACCUUCAACUACCGUGUCUGGAUUAGUUAGUUGAAUCAAGACGGAUCCAAAUCCAAUUCUUUAUUGGACUACUCAGCUGGUCACAAACCGUACAAUAACAUCUUCAGUUGAUACCACAGAAUUGUAAAUUGACUUACGAAAUUUUUCCGUUCUUGGUAAAUUUGGGCGACGUUUUCAAUCGUGUUUGGUGAAGCACUGUUAACGGGGGUGAGAUUGGAAUCAAGAAGAGCCACCCAGCUGAGUCUAAAGAAAUGCAAGUUAAAGAAAGAGAAUGUACUUGCCGGCAGGAUGUUGCCAUUUGUUAAAGAGAGGCAUUGGCGGCAUUCAUUAGCGUUGCUGAUGCUUUACUAUUAUUCCCCUGCAUUUUCUCACGACCAAAGACACGGCUUUAACUAAAGAUUUAUAAACUAUACUCUUUCUCGCAAACACCUGCAGGAGAAUCGACAGAUACUCAGAUCGAGGACUGAAUAGUUCUACUUCCUGGUCGACUUAUCGUGUGGUGUUUUUACGUGGCUGAUCAGCAGCACACAACUUCUGCGAAAAGUCUGACUUUAACGUUACGAAGGAGAUAUCAGACUAUUGGACACCCGGAAGAAGUCAAUAGAUUGAUGAUGGCAACAGUUAUCGUUCUUCUAUUGAAAAUAAACAGCCAAUGAGUUAUAGAAAUCGUACUUGCGUAACAGUUUUGUUUCUGUGUUUAUAAAACGCAGAAUCUUAGAGCAAGGCUCACAAAGCAUAAAAGUGCACUAAGGCGGAUGAUCUGCAUCUUAUUUGGCAGUGAAAACACACUUAUGCAUAUAAACAUUGAACAGAAUUCUGAGGUGUUUUCUUAACUUCGACGAAGUUCUUAAUCUCGAAUUUACAAAUGAUAUUACUUCAUAAAGUAAUUCUGCGAUGAAAUAUCAGGCUGCUUUUGAGGAGAUAUGAACAGAACAGCAAACAAAACAAAGUUCUGCAUGUUCAUUCUUCAGUGAAAGCAUACAGUAAGCAGAGUUUUUAUGAUCAUGCAUAACUGAACAUUGCCCAGAGACGAAGCAAAGAAGUCCGCAAAAAGACGAAACAAGCUACUUAACAGUUCAACAACAUUCCCAAAGCGCAAACUUGCCGAAAUAUCUAUGGGUUACGAGAAUUUUACUUCGAAGAUUAACGGCGCUAUCAACGCAACUCGAGGUCAUGAGCCAGCCAACCUCCUCGUUACGACGUCGAAUCCGCGAUUUUUGCGAGCAGAAGCAACCCCGACAAUACCAGUUAUAGACGGUCGAAAUCAUUCUGCGUCAAUCGCCGUAACCUGGUUUAUUAUUGGAAGUAUUGUUAUAGGAGGGUUGUAUUAUCUAGCUCGAAAUGCUUACAGAUCUUUGAGAUACUAUUGCCUGACGUCAAGAAAACCACAAGAAAUUUCAAAGCAAGAAAGCAGCGUUCGCAGAAACUCUUCAGCGAAACUUAUGGUUAAAGAAGAACACGGAUAGAGAGCUAAAUAAACAAUGAAGAUCAUGAAGUUAGAACUAAGAUGCAUAGCUUUGAAGAAGGGGUGUUGAACUCUUUAAUAAAGACUGUUUUCAGCAGAUGAAUGGGCAAUUAUUCAGUAUUUAAAAAAAUUAAAAAAUUGACGUUAUUUGCGGCAGAAAAGGGUGCAACGAAGAGUGUGCCAGUUUGUGACAACAGCCGACUAACUUAUUGUGCAAUUAAGCAUAAUCAUCGCAGAUGAAAACAUUGAACUUUUCAAGAUUAUUGCUAACCUUUUUCUCUAGCUAGCAAUACAGUAAAUACUGUUGUCUUCGGUUUAUAUCAUGCUAUUUUAAGGGGUAUUAGAUCUAAAAGAUAGUUUUUGAAUCAUUUAGCUACAUAAUAAAUCGUUUAGUUGUACAACGAUUCAUUUUUCAAAUGUCCUGUUUUUACUAUUUGAA
This is a non-coding RNA of Rhopilema esculentum, 2348 nucleotides long. Lineage: Eukaryota; Metazoa; Cnidaria; Scyphozoa; Rhizostomeae; Rhizostomatidae. The record is from RefSeq and is a predicted model, not a curated record.